AGCCAAGAGGGAGGGAACGGGUCGGGGAAUGAGUCUGAAGAGGAUCACAGCAGAGAUGAUGAAAAUGCCGCUUUGGUGAGAUGACAUAGUUACUUUUAUAUCUAUUUUACUUCGACGUAUCUUUAUUACCUAGACAAAGCACGUUACGGGCUGAUAACGAUCAACACAAUAGCCACAUAAUUUUGUUUCACAUUCCAGUUCUGGUGGUGUGAGGUAUGGAACGUCUCUGUGACUGAGGCUCAGCAAAGCAAUAGUAAUAUGAAAAUACUGAUAUCCGAGUUAAGAGCAGGAAAACCCAGUAGUGUCGUGGGAUUCAUUCAAUCAAGCUUUUUUCAGGAGCAUCCUAGAUAUCCCAAUAGCAGGCACACAGCACCCCUUCCCUCACAACUCUAAGCGUACCGGUAUGAUAUAAAUGUUGCCACCCAUGAUUUGUUAUAAGUACUAGUAAUAGUUACCAAAGUUGUUCUCGCUGUGUUUGGA
This 480-nucleotide small RNA is filed under the name Histoplasma capsulatum var. duboisii H88. RNAcentral describes it as "Histoplasma capsulatum H88 hypothetical RNA". The record is from RNAcentral. Lineage: Eukaryota; Fungi; Ascomycota; Eurotiomycetes; Onygenales; Ajellomycetaceae.